Osmerus eperlanus (European smelt) is the source of this 408-nucleotide long non-coding RNA. RefSeq lists it as uncharacterized. The record is from RefSeq and is a predicted model, not a curated record. The transcript has 3 exons. Lineage: Eukaryota; Metazoa; Chordata; Actinopteri; Osmeriformes; Osmeridae.
AGACCACCCACGCCACACCUUCUCUCGGAGUUGAGCCUGUGUCUCAUCUUCCAGACAGACCUAAAGACUGCACAGAUGAUUCCUAGGGGAGAGAGGGGUGUGGGGUUCCAGCAGCAUGGGAUGACCCAGGCAUUGGGUCUAAAAGAAGACUUUGGACCAUCCAAUGCUAUAGACUCAUUAGCAUGCAACAUGAAUCCUCUCCCAUCACAAUGGAUUAGCUGUGUCCCUGAUUCAGCAGCUCCAAUUUCGACACUGUGGAAAUCUGCAUAAAAGAAAACUAUUGUGAAUAGCAUCGGAGUGAGGGUGAUAACUCAGAUUUGUCCCUGGAAAUGAAUGGCGUAUUGGUUACUUGGUGAUGCCUCAGAGUGAUUCCGGGGAGAAAACUGAUCGUCUGACGCUGUGUGCAUC